Molecule: long non-coding RNA, 1018 nt
Filed under: Gossypium raimondii (Peruvian cotton)
Lineage: Eukaryota; Viridiplantae; Streptophyta; Magnoliopsida; Malvales; Malvaceae
Description: long non-coding RNA (GRAI_LNC001009)
Source: RNAcentral
CAAAGAACGCAAAAAAAAAAAACAAAAGGGGAGGUUCCCCUUCUCUGCCGGAGUUCCAAGGCCAUGGAACAGUGAACGAAAAAACUUUGGCCCCUCCCUAAACCCCAUCCGGCGACGACGAAAGACCAUCGACGGCGGGCCUAAGGGCUGAUUCGGGUGCACUCCCUCCUCUUUUUUUUAUUUAUUUUCCUUAUUAAAAUGAAGUUGUAAAAAGAAAAAGAUAGAAAUAAAAUUAAAAUGAAAAUAAAACGAAUAGAAAACAGUAAAGGUUUAACCUUUUUGAACUUUUAUUUUUGCUAUUUUGAUUUCUGAUGUGCGUUUUUUUUACAAAGAAAAAUCGAAGAAGAACGAUGCAAGAAAACGUUCGGCCUUUAUAGCCAAAAUACAAAAAAUCGAAGAAGAACGAUGCAAGAAAACGUUCGGCCUUUAUAGCCAAAAUACAAAAUCUUUCCGUUCUAUUCUUUGUCGUUUCUUUUUGUCUAUCUCUUCUUUUGUUGUUUUCUUUUUAGUCCGCGUGUCUUCUUCUCCUUGCAGGUGCCCGUGGCCGACAGUGGUGGCAGAGGCGUGCGAGUGGGCGUGGCAGACGAGGAGGCCACGCGAGGCAUGCGGCGCUAGGGUUUGGGGGCAACUUUCUGCCGAAAAUGUUAAUGUUGUCUUGGCUGGGUUUUUAAUUUUUGUUACAACAAGCCAUGGGCUACAUUGGGCUUGUUAUUUUCCUUUGUAAUUGGACUGUCGUUUAUCUUGUUUUAAUAUUCGGGCUUGGGCAUAAAAUUGGGCCUUACAGAAUCCAUCAAAGAAUUUCCUAUAAAAUUUAAGCUUGCCAAACCUAUAAAAUAUCUAACAAAGAAAAUUAAAGUAAAGAAUCAAAAAACAAGAUGCCUUGUUCAACCGAUUCAACUCAACCGCAAUUAAAAAUCCCUAAAGCAAUGGAUUACCAUGACGAGUAUAUGCAAACGAUUUUCUCUCUACAACUCAUCCGAGCCACAACCAAGUCGAUGAAAGUCUGACUCGACGAGUC